UACGGGGGGUGCGAGCGUUGUCCGGAAUCACUGGGCGUAAAGGGCGCGUAGGUGGCCUGAUAAGGGUGUGGUGAAAGUCCGGGGCUCAACCCCGGAUCUGCCGUGCCGACUGUCAGACUCGAGGACUGUAGAGGCAGGCGGAAUUCCGGGUGUAGCGGUGGAAUGCGUAGAGAUCCGGAGGAAGACCGGUGGCGAAGGCGGCCUGCUGGGCAGUUACUGACACUGAGGCGCGACAGCGUGGGGAGCAACAGG
This 252-nucleotide ribosomal RNA is filed under the name uncultured bacterium. RNAcentral's name for it is "partial 16S ribosomal RNA". It matches the Rfam family "Bacterial small subunit ribosomal RNA", at positions 524 to 775 of the family's 1533-position model. The record is from RNAcentral.